UACGUAGGGACCAAGCGUUGUUCGGAUUUACUGGGCGUAAAGGGCGCGUAGGCGGCUUGACAAGUCACUUGUGAAAUCUCCGGGCUUAACUCGGAACGGCCAAGUGAUACUGUCAAGCUAGAGUGCAGAAAGGGCAAUCGGAAUUCUUGGUGUAGCGGUGAAAUGCGUAGAUAUCAAGAGGAACACCUGAGGCGAAGGCGGGUUGCUAGGCUGACACUGACGCUGAAGCGCGAAAGCCAGGGGAGCAAACGGG
This 253-nucleotide ribosomal RNA is filed under the name uncultured bacterium. RNAcentral describes it as "partial 16S ribosomal RNA". It matches the Rfam family "Bacterial small subunit ribosomal RNA", at positions 524 to 776 of the family's 1533-position model. The record is from RNAcentral.